Molecule: ribosomal RNA, 762 nt
Filed under: uncultured archaeon
Lineage: Archaea
Description: bacterial SSU rRNA
Rfam family: Archaeal small subunit ribosomal RNA
Source: RNAcentral
ACUGGGGAUAAUUCCGGAUAGGCCACAGAUGCUGGAAUGCACUGUGGCUCAAAGCUCCGGCGCCGAAGGAUGGGUCUGCGGCCUAUCAGGGUUGUAGUGGGUGUAAUGUACCUACUAGCUUACGACGGGUACGGGUUGUGAGAGCAAGAGCCCGGAGAUGGAUUCUGAGACACGAAUCCAGGCCCUACGGGGUGCAGCAGGCGCGAAAACUUUACAAUGCGGGAAACCGUGAUAAGGGAAUCUCGAGUGCCAGCAUAUAAUGUUGGCUGUCCAGAUGCCUAAAAAGCAUCUGUUAGCAAGGGCCGGGCAAGACCGGUGCCAGCCGCCGCGGUAACACCGGCGGCCCGAGUGGUAACCGCUUUUAUUGGGUCUAAAGGGUCUGUAGCCGGCCAUGUAAGUCCCUUGGGAAAUCUGGCAGCUCAACUGUCAGGCUGCUAGGGGAUACUGCUUGGCUUGGGACCGGGAGAGGUGAGAGGUACCUUGAGGGUAGGGGUGAAAUCUUGUGAUCCUCGGGGGACCACCAGUGGCGAAGGCGUCUCACCAGAACGGGUCCGACGGUAAGGGACGAAAGCUAGGGGCACGAACCGGAUUAGAUACCCGGGUAGUCCUAGCCGUAAACGAUGCUCGCUAGGUGUCAGUCACGGUGCGACCGUGAUUGGUGCCGUAGGGAAGCCGUGAAGCGAGCCACCUGGGAAGUACGGCCGCAAGGCUGAAACUUAAAGGAAUUGGCGGGGGAGUACUACAACGGGUGGAGUCUGCGGU